UGACUCUAUGUUAAACGGCCGCGGUAUACUGACCGUGCCAAGGUAGCGCAAUCACUUGCCCUUUAAAUGGGGGCCCGUAUGAACGGCGCCACGAGGGCUAAUCUGUCUCCUUCUUCCAGUCAAUGAAAUUGAUCUCCCCGUGCAGAAGCGGGGAUAAACACAUAAGACGAGAAGACCCUGUGGAGCUUUAGAUACUAAGAUUGAUCCCCUCAACAUACUCUGACAAAAGUAUUUAAACAAGGAAUUCAAUCAGAUUAUCUUUGGUUGGGGCGGCCGCGGGGAUCAAAAUAACCCCCAUGUGGACCGGGAAUCUCAGUUACACUCUAGUACUUUUUAUUCCUACAAUCAAGAGUCACCACUCUAAACAACAGAACUUCUGACCAACAAUGAUCCGACAAAGUCGAUCAACG
This 410-nucleotide ribosomal RNA is filed under the name Nemipterus hexodon (ornate threadfin bream). RNAcentral's name for it is "partial 16S ribosomal RNA". It matches the Rfam family "Bacterial large subunit ribosomal RNA", at positions 1913 to 2454 of the family's 2925-position model. The record is from RNAcentral. Lineage: Eukaryota; Metazoa; Chordata; Actinopteri; Spariformes; Nemipteridae.